CGCCUCCUGGAAUUAUGGGAGGUCGCGCCUGCUCAAUGCCCUGCGGGGUGAAUAGCCGCGGUACCCUGACCGUGCUAAGGUAGCGUAAUCAUUAGCCUAUUAAUUGUUGGCCUGUAUGAAUGGCUGGACGCUGGUGAAACUGUCUCUAUUGUGUUUUAUUGAAAUUAACCUCUUGGUGAAAAGGCCAAGAUUGACCCGAAAGACGAUUAGACCCUGUCGAACUUUAGGCAAACUUUUUACAGCUCAAGCUUAGUAAAGAGAAAACCUUUGGUUGGGGAAACCGGGGACCAUAUAAAACGUCCACCCCCACUGCUGCCUAAGCUUAAGGGAAAGGUUUAACCGUUUCAGAAAAGAGAGGCCCCACUGGGCAUUUGUAGCUUCAUUCGAUCCAGAAGUAUGUUUCUGAUCAUGGGAAAAGUUACCGCAGGGAUAACAGCGUAAUCCCCCCGGCGAGACCACAUUAAAGGGGGGGUUUGCGACCUCGAUGUUGGCUUAGGGCACCCCGGAAGUGCAGGAGCUUCCACAGGUUGGUCUGUUCCACCACUAACGCCUUACGU
Molecule: ribosomal RNA, 557 nt
Filed under: Patelloida heroldi
Lineage: Eukaryota; Metazoa; Mollusca; Gastropoda; Lottiidae
Description: partial 16S ribosomal RNA
Rfam family: Bacterial large subunit ribosomal RNA
Source: RNAcentral